This 244-nucleotide ribosomal RNA is filed under the name uncultured bacterium. Its description in RNAcentral is "partial 16S ribosomal RNA". It matches the Rfam family "Bacterial small subunit ribosomal RNA", at positions 533 to 776 of the family's 1533-position model. The record is from RNAcentral.
UGCAAGCGUUAUCCGGAUUCACUGGGUUUAAAGGGUGCGCAGGUGGGCAGGUAAGUCAGUGGUGAAAUCUCCGGGCUUAACCCGGAAACUGCCAUUGAUACUAUCUGCCUUGAAUACCGUGGAGGUGAGCGGAAUAUGUCAUGUAGCGGUGAAAUGCUUAGAUAUGACCCGGAACACCGAUUGCGAAGGCAGCCCACUAAGCAACGAUUGACGCUGAGGCACGAAAGCGUGGGGAUCAAACAGG